AACUCAUGGCACAGCACCCAGCCAUUCGGAAGAUUUGAGGCACAAACAUCAUCCAUUCAAAAACAUCUGGAAUGGUAAAGAGGAGGGGGCUUCUGGUAUUGCUGUUGUUAUAAAGUGUAUGCGCUCCGUGUACUUGUUGAUGUCCAUACAGCAAAAGUGUUUUGAACUAAAAUGAAUUUCAUCUCAAUUCCACCUGUAGUCCUGGAGGAACACAAGAAGACCCUUUUGAGGAUAACAGAAUUCAUAAAGUACAUGCCAUGGAAGAGCACAUGGGGCCAAUGACAAGGAAGAUGGAGGUUAUGGAGAGGAAGUCCAUGACUUUGAAGGCUGCCAUGGCUUUGAACAUGCCACAACCUGCUGUUGGUCCAGUGCAGCAGAGAGCAUAAGCUGGGGGAGCUAGCCAGAAGCCUAGCUCAACCAGAAAUGAGAAACCAAAUGACCUUGGGAAAGCCUGGGAUGGGCGAAUACGGCAGCUGCUGUCCGCCGUGGGUGGCUACCCACACACCAUGUCCUGGGACAUUACAGCCUGAGGAGGAAUAGAACGUGCAUGCAUUCCAGAACCUGACCCUUUGCAAAGUUAUAACAGGUAAGAUUAGCAGGUAUAUUCUCCGUAAAAAAUAUCUGUGUAAAUCUGUGUUAUGCCAAGUUUGAUUCAGAUUUAAAUGUCCCACCUUUCUUUACAUCCAUUUGCAGAGACCUACACGCAGAACUUCUCUGUCCUGCAGGAAGCGAAUAUUGAGAAUAGCAUUGGGCAUACUCUGAAAUUUGGACUACACAGAUGGUCAGCUGGUCCUCAAGACUGAAAACACACACCAACAUUUUUAUUUUCUG
Molecule: long non-coding RNA, 831 nt
Organism: Engraulis encrasicolus (European anchovy)
Lineage: Eukaryota; Metazoa; Chordata; Actinopteri; Clupeiformes; Engraulidae
Exons: 4
Source: RefSeq, a predicted model, not a curated record